AUUGAACGCUGGCGGCAUGCCUUACACAUGCAAGUCGAACGGCAGCACGGGAGCAAUCCUGGUGGCGAGUGGCGAACGGGUGAGUAAUAUAUCGGAACGUGCCCGGUCGUGGGGAUAACGUAGCGAAAGCUACGCUAAUACCGCAUACGAUCUACGGAUGAAAGCGGGGGAUCGCAAGACCUCGCGCGAUUGGAACGGCCGAUAUCAGAUUAGGUAGUUGGUGAGGUAAAGGCUCACCAAGCCGACGAUCUGUAGCUGGUCUGAGAGGACGACCAGCCACACUGGGACUGAGACACGGCCCAGACUCCUACGGGAGGCAGCAGUGGGGAAUUUUGGACAAUGGGCGCAAGCCUGAUCCAGCAAUGCCGCGUGCAGGAUGAAGGCCUUCGGGUUGUUAAACGUAG
Molecule: ribosomal RNA, 404 nt
Filed under: uncultured bacterium
Lineage: Bacteria
Description: bacterial SSU rRNA
Rfam family: Bacterial small subunit ribosomal RNA
Source: RNAcentral